This 468-nucleotide ribosomal RNA is filed under the name uncultured bacterium. Its description in RNAcentral is "partial 16S ribosomal RNA". It matches the Rfam family "Bacterial small subunit ribosomal RNA", at positions 28 to 507 of the family's 1533-position model. The record is from RNAcentral.
GACGAACGCUGGCGGCGUGCUUAACACAUGCAAGUCGAACGGAAAGGCCCUGCUUUUGUGGGGUGCUCGAGUGGCGAACGGGUGAGUAACACGUGAGUAACCUGCCCUUGACUUUGGGAUAACUUCAGGAAACUGGGGCUAAUACCGGAUAGGAGCUCCUGCUGCAUGGUGGGGGUUGGAAAGUUUCGGCGGUUGGGGAUGGACUCGCGGCUUAUCAGCUUGUUGGUGGGGUAGUGGCUUACCAAGGCUUUGACGGGUAGCCGGCCUGAGAGGGUGACCGGCCACAUUGGGAAUGAGAUACGGCCCAGACUCCUACGGGAGGCAGCAGGGGGGAAUAUUGCAAAAUGGGCGGAAGCCUGAAGCAGCAACGCCGCGUGCGGGAUGACGGCCUUCGGGUUGUAAACCGCUUUCGCCUGUGACGAAGCGUGAGUGACGGUAAUGGGUAAAGAAGCACCGGCUAACUACGUG